RNAcentral lists this ribosomal RNA (492 nucleotides) under uncultured bacterium. RNAcentral describes it as "partial 16S ribosomal RNA". It matches the Rfam family "Bacterial small subunit ribosomal RNA", at positions 29 to 507 of the family's 1533-position model. The record is from RNAcentral.
AGUGAACGCUGGCGGUAGGCCUAACACAUGCGAGUCGAACGGCAGCACAGUAAGAGCUUGCUCUUACGGGUGGCGAGUGGCGGACGGGUGAGGAAUACAUCGGAAUCUACUUUUUCGUGGGGGAUAACGUAGGGAAACUUACGCUAAUACCGCAUACGACCUACGGGUGAAAGCAGGGGAUCUUCGGACCUUGCGCGAUUGAAUGAGCCGAUGUCGGAUUAGCUAGUUGGCGGGGUAAAGGCCCACCAAGGCGACGAUCCGUAGCUGGUCUGAGAGGAUGAUCAGCCACACUUGAACUGAGACACGGUCCAGACUCCUACGGGAGGCAGCAGUGGGGAAUAUUGGACAAUGGGCGCAAGCCUGAUCCAGCCAUACCGCGUGGGUGAAGAAGGCCUUCGGGUUGUAAAGCCCUUUUGUUGGGAAAGAAAAGCAGCAGGUUAAUACCCCGCUGUUCUGACGGUACCCAAAGAAUAAGCGCCGGCUAACUUCGUG